This 806-nucleotide long non-coding RNA is filed under the name Capsella rubella. RNAcentral's name for it is "long non-coding RNA (CRUB_LNC000357)". The record is from RNAcentral. Lineage: Eukaryota; Viridiplantae; Streptophyta; Magnoliopsida; Brassicales; Brassicaceae.
GGGGAUCAUAAAAACGGACCGAAAGAACUUAGAACUAAUACGCAAAGUCGGGGAUCAUAAAAACGGACCAAAAGAACAUAGAGCUAAUACGCAAAGUCGGGGAUCAUAAAAACGGACCGAAAGAACUUAGAGCUAAUACGCAAAGUCGGGGUUCAUAAAAACGGACCGAAAGAACUUAGAGCUAAUACGUAAAGUCGUAGAUCAUUAAAACGGACUGAAAGAACUCAGAGCUAAUACGCAAAGUUGAGGAUCAUAAAAACGGACCGAAAGAACUUAGAGUUAACACGCAAAGUUGGGGAUCAUAAAAACGGACAGAAAUAACUUAGAGCUAAUACGCAAAGUCGGGGAUCAUAAAAACGGAGCGAAAGAACUUAGAGUUAAUACGCAAAGUCGGGGAUCAUAAAAACGGACCGAAAGAACUUAGAGCUAAUACGCAAAGUCGGGGAUCAGAAAAACGGACCAAAAGAACUUAGAGCUAAUACGCAAAUUUGGGGAUAAUAAAAACGGACCAAAAAAACUUAGCGCUAAUACGCAAACUUGAGGAUCAUAAAAACGGACCGAAAGAACUUAGACCUAAUACGCAAAGUCGGGGAUCAUAAAAACAGAACGAAAGAACUUAGAGCUAAUACGCAAAGUCGGGGAUCAUAAAAACAGUCCGAAAGAACUUAGAGCUAAUACGCAAAGUCGGGGAUCAUAAAAACGGACCGAAAGAAUUUAGAGCUAAUACGCAAAGUCGGGGAUCAUAAAAACGGACCGAAAGAACUUAGAGCUAAUACGCAAAUUUGGGGAUCAUAAAAACGGACCGN